AUACUCUAGUACGGUAGGUGGCGGUAUGCAUCUAUAAGUUGGUAUUGCAAUCCGUCAAGAAGGAUAAUGUCAGUUUGUCUGGUCCAGCACUGAGUCUGUAUCAGUACAUCCAUGGUCUGGAUAAGUUUCUGUUUGGACUAUAACCAUUUAAUUUAUUAAAUCCUAAUCGUUUUAAUUGAUACGUUUGUCAGUUGAUACAUAAAUACAUGUAUAUCUAUGUAUGUAUGGUUCUCAAGAAAUAGUAAGCAAUCUGCGCGUUCAAAACACGCCUGUUUGGAACGACACUAGUACGAAGAAGAUGAAGAAAAAGAUCAGGAACUUAUCCUCAAUCGAUGAUGUUCCACAGCAAUAAGGAUUCUGUCCCUCAGAUUUGGAUGUGACAUCUCUCUUCAUCCCAAAUCUCAGUGAGAUGAUGUCUUCAGCUCAUCAAAACUGUCAACUUGAUCCACAAAAUGACUUUGAGAAGAAAACCUUUGACAGCUGCAACUUUGUUGGAAGUCGAGUUAAAACAGAUUGUACAGAGUUCAGUAGUACAUCCUGUCUGUCCUGCACUGAUGGAACCUACAUGAAUCAGCCCACUGGACUUAAACAGUGUUUCACCUGUGCAAACUGUGAUGCAGGUUCUGGUCUGCAGAUAAAGACAUCAUGUACAUCAACAUCAAAUACAGUUUGUCAACCACUGGAGGGAUUCUACUGUAUGGACUCCACAGAGGACAGCUGUGUGAAAGCACUGAAACACACAAGCUGUCAACCAGGACAAUACAUCAGACAAAAAGGAACCAGCGGAACUGAUACAGUGUGUGACGACUGUCAGCCGGGCUAAUUUUCACAGGAUGGUGUGAACUGCACAGCUUGGACAAUUUGCUCAGAAACUGAAGUGAUGGUCAAAGAAGGAAACCAGACAAAUGAUGUCGUCUGCAGAAGUGCAUCAAGAAAUCACUACUCUUUAUUUUCACCAUUGUUAAUGGUUUUCUCACUAACACUUGCCUGGCUUGUGAGCAGAGUUGAUGGAGAAAUUCUUGUACCCUUGUCACUUUUGAUGAAGAAUAAAGAUGAAGAAACUCCACAGGUUCCAGUUGAUGCUCUCAGAUGACCUCAGAUUUGAUUACUGACUAUUAAAAUGUACUUACACACUUACUUAUACCUGCAACUGACAUUAUGACUAUUAUAAUGAUGGGAUAUUACUGUUACUUCCAUUUAGGCUACUGUUGUUUUUAUUAAAAUGUCAUUACAUUGUUCCAGAUAUUAUCAUUUUAUUGUGAGGCUUUUUUAAACUUUUUCUAGUACUAUGAUUGGUUGCUCCUGAUUUUAUUUUUAUAGCCUGACAUCAGGUUUGUCUUCUUGCCUCUAGAAAGCAUUUUGUGCAUCUUGUUUGAAAUUAUUAAUUUUUUUCUUAUAUCUGCUCACCUCGACCUGCUGUUUGUAUUGCUAAAGUUAGUCUGCUAGGAUCUGUGGUUAUAUGUCACAACCCGUCUGCGGUCUCAAAAGCAUCUGAAGGCCAAUAAAUAUACACGAUUACUGUUCAAUAACCAAAUCUGGUCCUGUCUUCACCUUGUUGACUAGACAGUUGGGUGACUGUAUGUUCCAUCUUCGUCAGCCCUCCUCCCCCUCACCUUUCCGACAACGGAUAAAGGGGGGAGGGAGGCUGUGCGGAGGUGAGAGACCUCUCUCUCUCUCUCUAGCUCUCUCUUUUCAUUCACUUCUCAUGUGAACAGCUCAGUGGGCUGUAACAGUAGAGACUGGCGGACACAUACCCCCCCGCUCCAACGUGCGGGGGUGGGAAUCAUGCUAGGAAACAAGUAAAAGUAAAAGAAAAAGUAGCAUGAAGUAAAAGACUGUGAACGUCGGUGCUUCUGGGCCAUGUUCCUCAGUAACGAGGAUUCUGUCCCUCAGAUUUGGAUGUGACAUCUCUCUUCAUCCCAAAUCUCAGUGAGACGAUGUCUUCAGCUCAUCAAAACUGUCAACUUGCUCCACAAAAUGACUUUGAGAAGAAAACCUUUGACAGCUGCAACUUUGUUGAUAAUAAUACUGAAAGUCUUCAUCGGACAGAUCCUCACAUGUCAUCCAACAGAGUACCUAACAGAGGGAGGAUGCU
This is a long non-coding RNA of Thunnus maccoyii (southern bluefin tuna), 2095 nucleotides long. RefSeq lists it as uncharacterized. Lineage: Eukaryota; Metazoa; Chordata; Actinopteri; Scombriformes; Scombridae. The transcript is spliced from 9 exons. The record is from RefSeq and is a predicted model, not a curated record.